This 441-nucleotide ribosomal RNA is filed under the name uncultured bacterium. RNAcentral's name for it is "partial 16S ribosomal RNA". It matches the Rfam family "Bacterial small subunit ribosomal RNA", at positions 338 to 795 of the family's 1533-position model. The record is from RNAcentral.
CCUACGAGAGGCAGCAGUGGGGGAUAUUGCACAAUGGGGGAAACCCUGAUGCAGCGACGCCGCGUGAGUGAAGAAGUAUUUCGGUAUGUAAAGCUCUAUCAGCAGGGAAGAAAAAAGACGGUACCUGACUAAGAAGCCCCGGCUAACUACGUGCCAGCAGCCGCGGUAAUACGUAGGGGGCAAGCGUUAUCCGGAUUUACUGGGGGGAAAGGGAGCGUAGACGGCAAUACAAGUCGGAAGUGAAAUAACCGGGCUCAACCUGGGAAUUGCUUGGGAAACUGUAUGGCUGGAGUGCUGGAGAGGUAAGCGGAAUUCCUAGUGUAGCGGUGAAAUGCGUAGAUAUUAGGAGGAACACCAGUGGCGAAGGCGGCUUACUGGACAGUAACUGACGUUGAGGCUCGAAAGCGUGGGGAGCAAACAGGAUUAGAUACCCUAGUAGUC